CCUACGGGACGCAGCAGUAGGGAAUCUUCCACAAUGGACGAAAGUCUGAUGGAGCAACGCCGCGUGAGUGAAGAAGGGUUUCGGCUCGUCAAACUCCGGUGGUAGUGAAGAAAAAUAGAGGUAGUAACCGGCCUUUAUUUGACGGCAAUUACUUAGAAAGUCACGGCUAACUACGUGCCAGCAGCCGCGGUAAUACGUAGGUGGCAAGGGUUGUCCGGCUUUAUUGGGGGUAAA
Molecule: ribosomal RNA, 234 nt
Filed under: uncultured bacterium
Lineage: Bacteria
Description: partial 16S ribosomal RNA
Rfam family: Bacterial small subunit ribosomal RNA
Source: RNAcentral